RNAcentral lists this ribosomal RNA (358 nucleotides) under uncultured bacterium. RNAcentral describes it as "bacterial SSU rRNA". It matches the Rfam family "Bacterial small subunit ribosomal RNA", at positions 917 to 1271 of the family's 1533-position model. The record is from RNAcentral.
GGGCCCGCACAAGUGGUGGAGCAUGUGGUUUAAUUCGAUGCAACGCGCAGAACCUUACCCAGCCUUGACAUCUUUCGAACUUUCCCGAAAGGGAUUGGUGCUACCGCAAGGUAGAACGAAAUGACAGGUGCUGCAUGGCUGUCGUCAGCUCGUGCCGUGAGGUGUUCGUUAAGUCCGGCAACGAGCGCAACCCCUAUCGCUAGUUACCAGCAUUCAGUUGGGGACUCUAGCGAGACUGCCGGUGACAAACCGGAGGAAGGUGGGGACGACGUCAAGUCCGCAUGGCCCUUAUGGCUGGGGCUACACACGUGCUACAAUGGCCGAGACAAAGAGUCGCAAGUUUGCAAAGACAAGCUAA